UCAUCGAAUCUUUGAACGCACCUUGCGCCCCUUGGUAUUCCGAGGGGCACACCCGUUUGAGCGUCGUGAAAUUCUCAACCUCCUCGGUUUCUUCUGGAGACUGAAGGAGGCUUGGACUUUGGAGGCCUUUGCUGGCGUGUCUCGCCAGCUCCUCUUAAAUGAAUUAGCGUGGUCCUCUUUGCCGAACCUCGACACGUGAUAAGAUGCUUCCGUGUCUCGGUUUCUGGCUCUGUUGCUUUUGGGACCCGCUUCUAACCGUCUGGACCUUGCGUCGAGACAAUGUUCGAGCUCGUAUCCCUUCUUGGGAAACCCCCUCGACCCCACGAACCCUUGGCCUCAAAUCGGGUGAGACUACCCACU
Molecule: ribosomal RNA, 360 nt
Filed under: Lactarius camphoratus
Lineage: Eukaryota; Fungi; Basidiomycota; Agaricomycetes; Russulales; Russulaceae
Description: eukaryotic LSU rRNA
Rfam family: 5.8S ribosomal RNA (bases 1-66)
Source: RNAcentral